GUCCACGCCCUAAACUAUGUCAACUAGUUGUCGGGAAAGCAAUUUCUUGGUAACGAAGCUAACGCGUGAAGUUGACCGCCUGGGGAGUACGGUCGCAAGAUUAAAAACUCAAAAGGAAUUGACGGGGGCCCGCACAAGCGGUGGAUGAUGUGGAUUAAUUCGAUGCAACGCGAAAAACCUUACCUACCCUUGACAUGCCCGGGAGCCAGACGAGAGUUUGGUGUGCUCGAAAGAGAGCCGGGACACAGGUGCUGCAUGGCUGUCGU
This 266-nucleotide ribosomal RNA is filed under the name uncultured bacterium. Its description in RNAcentral is "partial 16S ribosomal RNA". It matches the Rfam family "Bacterial small subunit ribosomal RNA", at positions 793 to 1055 of the family's 1533-position model. The record is from RNAcentral.